GGUGAACGCUGGCGGCGUGCUUAAGACAUGCGAGUCGAACGGGCUCUUCGGAGCCAGUGGCGCACGGGUGAGUAACGCGUAACUGACCUACCCCAAAGUCGCGGAUAACGAUUCGAAAGAAUCGCUAAUACGUGAUGUGCUGUCAGAUCCUGUUCUGCCAGUAAAGAUUUAUUGCUUUGGGAUGGGGUUGCGUUCCAUCAGCUAGUUGGUGGGGUAAAGGCCCACUAAGGCGACGACGGAUCGCCGGCCUGAGAGGGUGGCCGGCCACAGGGGCACUGAGACACGGGUCCCACUCCUACGGGAGGCAGCAGUUAGGAAUCUUCCACAAUGGGCGAAAGCCUGAUGGAGCGACGCCGCGUGAGGGAUGAAGGUCUUCGGAUCGUAAACCUCUGAAUCAGGGACGAAAGACGCGAAAGCGGGAUGACGGUACCUGAGUAAUAGCACCGGCUAACUCCGUG
Molecule: ribosomal RNA, 458 nt
Filed under: uncultured bacterium
Lineage: Bacteria
Description: partial 16S ribosomal RNA
Rfam family: Bacterial small subunit ribosomal RNA
Source: RNAcentral